UUGUCUCCGUUUCUCUAGGGAAUAGCAAUUUUAUAGUGGUUAGUCUAAUGAUUUAGGGAGUAUUUGCAGUUUUGCUAAAUUAAUGGAUAAAAAAUUAGAACGAUGUCCAUGUACCAUGAAAAGAAGUUUAUCAUACAUUAAUACAAAGUUAUAAUGUGGUUUUAAAUUUUAAAACAAAUUUAGAGAUUAUAGGCUUCAUAUAAAGAGCAUUUACCGAAAACUCACUAUUUUCGUAGGGGUUAACCCAUAGAUUUUGAAAAAAAUCAAAAAAAUUGAAAAUACUGUUUUAAUACAUAUUUGAAUCAAGUAAAAAAAUAUGAUGAAGUUCAAAGAGGUUUGGAACCUUUGUUGUCUCCGUUUCUCUAGGGAAUAGCAAUUUUAUAGUGGUUAGUCUAAUGAUUUAGGGAGUAUUUGCAGUUUUGCUAAAUUAAUGGAUAAAAAAUUAGAACGAUGUCCAUGUACCAUGAAAAGAAGUUUAUCAUACAUAAAUACAAAGUUAUAAUGUGGUUUUAAAUUUUAAAACAAAUUUAGAGAUUAUAGGCUUCAUAUAUAGAGCAUUUACCGAAAACUCACUAUUUUCGUAGGGGGGUACACAUAGAUUUUGAGAAAAAUUCAAAAAUUUUGAAAAUACUGUUUUAAUACAUAUUUGAAUCAUGUAAUAAUAUAUGAUGAAGUUCAAAGAGGUUUGGAACCUUUGUUGUCUCCGUUUCUCUAGGGAAUAGCAAUUUUAUAGUGGUUAGUCCAAUGAUUUAGGGAGUAUUUGCAGUAAAUUAAUGGAUAAAAAAUUAGAACGAUGUCCAUGUACCAUGAAAAGAAGUUUAUCAUACAUUAAUACAAAGGUAUAAUGUGGUUUUAAAUUUUAAAACAAAUUUAAAGAUUAUAGGCUUCAUAUAUAGAGCAUUUACCGAAAACUCACUAUUUUCGUAGGGGUUAACACAUAGAUUUUGAAAAAAAUUCAAAAAAUUGAAAAUACUGUUUUAAUACAUAUUUGAAUCAUGUAAUAAAAUAUGAUGAAGUUCAAAGAGGUUUGGAACCUUUGUUGUCUCCGUUUCUCUAGGAAUAACAAUUUUAUAGUGGUUAGUCUAAUGAUUUAGGGAGUAUUUACAGGUUUGCUAAAUUAAUGGAUAAAAAAUUAGAACGAUGUCCAUGUACCAUGAAACGAAGUUUAUCAUACAUUAAUACAAAGGUAUAAUGUGGUUUUAAAUUUUAAAACAAAUUUAAAGAUUAUAGGCUUCAUAUAUAGAGCAUUUACCGAAAACUCACUAUUUUCGUAGGGGGGUACACAUAGAUUUUGAGAAAAUUCAAAAAAUUUGACAAUACUGUUUUAAUACAUAUUUGAAUCAUGUAAUAAAAUAUGAUGAAGUUCAAAGAGGUUUGGAACCUUUGUUGUCUCCGUUUCUCUAGGGAAUAGCAAUUUUAUAGUGGUUAGUCUAAUGAUUUAGGGAGUAUUUGCAGUUUUGCUAAAUUAAUGGAUAAAAAAUUAGAACGAUGUCCAUGUACCAUGAAAAGAAGUUUAUCAUACAUUAAUACAAAGGUAUAAUGUGGUUUUAAAUUUUAAAACAAAUUUAAAGAUUAUAGGCUUCAUAUAUAGAGCAUUUACCGAAAACUCACUAUUUUCGUAGGGGGGUACACAUAGAUUUUGAGAAAAAUUCAAAAAAUUUGAAAAUACUGUUUUAAUACAUAUUUGAAUCAUGUAAUAAUAUAUGAUGAAGUUCAAAGAGGUUUGGAACCUUUGUUGUCUCCGUUUCUCUAAGGAAUAGCAAUUUUAUAGUGGUUAGUCUAAUGAUUUAGGGAGUAUUUGCAGUUUUGCUAAAUUAAUGGAUAAAAAAUUAGAACGAUGUCCAUGUACCAUGAAAAUAAGUUUAUCAUACAUUAAUACAAAGGUAUAAUGUGGUUUUAAAUUUUAAAACAAAUUUAAAGAUUAUAGGCUUCAUAUAUAGAACAUUUACCGAAAACUCACUAUUUUCGUAGGGGGGUACACAUAGAUUUUGAGGAAAAUUUGAAAAUACUGUUUUAAUACAUAUUUGAAUCAUGUAAUAAUAUAUGAUGAAGUUCAAAGAGGUUUGGAACCUUUGUUGUCUCCGUUUCUCUAGGGAAUAGCAAUUUUAUAGUGGUUAGUCCAAUGAUUUAGGGAGUAUUUGCAGUAAAUUAAUGGAUAAAAAAUUAGAACGAUGUCCAUGUACCAUGAAAAGAAGUUUAUCAUACAUUAAUACAAAGGUAUAAUGUGGUUUUAAAUUUUAAAACAAAUUUAAAGAUUAUAGGCUUCAUAUAUAGAGCAUUUACCGAAAACUCACUAUUUUCGUAGGGGUUAACCCAUAGAUUUUGAAAAAAAUCAAAAAAUUUGAAAAUACUGUUUUAAUACAUAUUUGAAUCAUGUAAAAAAAUAUGAUGAAGUUCAAAGAGGUUUGGAACCUUUGUUGUCUCCGUUUCUCUAGGGAAUAGCAAUUUUAUAGUGGUUAGUCUAAUGAUUUAGGGAGUAUUUGCAGUUUUGCUAAAUUAAUGGAUAAAAAAUUAGAACGAUGUCCAUGUACCAUGAAAAGAAGUUUAUCAUACAUUAAUACAAAGUUAUAAUGUGGUUUUAAAUUUUAAAACAAAUUUAAAGAUUAUAGGCUUCAUAUAUAGAGCAUUUACCGAAAACUCACUAUUUUCGUAGGGGGGUACACAUAGAUUUUGAGAAAAAUUCAAAAAAUUUGAAAAUACUGUUUUAAUACAUAUUUGAAUCAUGUAAUAAUAUAUGAUGAAGUUCAAAGAGGUUUGGAACCUUUGUUGUCUCCGUUUCUCUAGGGAAUAGCAAUUUUAUAGUGGUUAGUCCAAUGAUUUAGGGAGUAUUUGCAGUAAAUUAAUGGAUAAAAAUUAGAACGAUGUCCAUGUACCAUGAAAAGAAGUUUAUCAUACAUUAAUACAAAGGUAUAAUGUGGUUUUAAAUUUUAAAACAAAUUUAAAGAUUAUAGGCUUCAUAUAUAGAGCAUUUACCGAAAACUCACUAUUUUCGUAGGGGUUACACAUAGAUUUUGAAAAAAAUCAAAAAAUUGAAAAUACUGUUUUAAUACAUAUUUGAAUCAUGUAAUAAAAUAUGAUGAAGUUCAAAGAGGUUUGGAACCUUUGUUGUCUCCGUUUCUCUAGGGAAUAGCAAUUUUAUAGUGGUUAGUCUAAUGAUUUAGGGAGUAUUUGCAGUUUUGCUAAAUUAAUGGAUAAAAAAUUAGAACGAUGUCCAUGUACCAUGAAAAGAAGUUUAUCAUACAUUAAUACAAAGGUAUAAUGUGGUUUUAAAUUUUAAAACAAAUUUAAAGAUUAUAGGCUUCAUAUAUAGAGCAUUUACCGAAAACUCACUAUUUUCGUAGGGGGGUACACAUAGAUUUUGAGAAAAAUUCAAAAAAUUUGAAAAUACUGUUUUAAUACAUAUUUGAAUCAUGUAAUAAUAUAUGAUGAAGUUCAAAGAGGUUUGGAACCUUUGUUGUCUCCGUUUCUCUAGGGAAUAGCAAUUUUAUAGUGGUUAGUCUAAUGAUUUAGGGAGUAUUUGCAGUUUUGCUAAAUUAAUGGAUAAAAAAUUAGAACGAUGUCCAUGUACCAUGAAAAGAAGUUUAUCAUACAUUAAUACAAAGUUAUAAUGUGGUUUUAAAUUUUAAAACAAAUUUAAAGAUUAUAGGCUUCAUAUAUAGAGCAUUUACCGAAAACUCACUAUUUUCGUAGGGGGGUACACAUAGAUUUUGAGAAAAAUUCAAAAAAUUUGAAAAUACUGUUUUAAUACAUAUUUGAAUCAUGUAAUAAUAUAUGAUGGAGUUCAAAGAGGUUUGGAACCUUUGUUGUCUCCGUUUCUCUAGGGAAUAGCAAUUUUAUAGUGGUUAGUCUAAUGAUUUAGGGAGUAUUUGCAGUUUUGCUAAAUUAAUGGAUAAAAAAUUAGAACGAUGUCCAUGUACCAUGAAAAGAAGUUUAUCAUACAUUAAUACAAAGGUAUAAUGUGGUUUUAAAUUUUAAAACAAAUUUAAAGAUUAUAGGCUUCAUAUAUAGAGCAUUUACCGAAAACUCACUAUUUUCGUAGGGGGUACACAUAGAUUUUGAGAAAAAUUUGAAAAAUUUGAAAAUACUGUUUUAAUACAUAUUUGAAUCAUGUAAUAAUAUAUGAUGAAGUUCAAAGAGGUUUGGAACCUUUGUUGUCUCCGUUUCUCUAGGGAAUAGCAAUUUUAUAGUGGUUAGUCCAAUGAUUUAGGGAGUAUUUGCAGUAAAUUAAUGGAUAAAAAAUUAGAACGAUGUCCAUGUACCAUGAAAAGAAGUUUAUCAUACAUUAAUACAAAGUAUAAUGUGGUUUUAAAUUUUAAAACAAAUUUAAAGAUUAUAGGCUUCAUAUAUAGAGCAUUUACCUAAAACUCACUAUUUUCGUAGGGGUUAACACAUAGAUUUUGAGAAAAAUUGAAAAAAUUGAAAAUACUGUUUUAAUACAUAUUUGAAUCAAGUAAAAAAAUAUGAUGAAGUUCAAAGAGGUUUGGAACCUUUGUUGUCUCCGUUUCUCUAGGGAAUAGCAAUUUUAUAGUGGUUAGUCUAAUGAUUUAGGGAGUAUUUGCAGUUUUCCUAAAUUAAUGGAUAAAAAAUUAGAACGAUGUCCAUGUACCAUGAAAAGAAGUUUAUCAUACAUUAAUACAAAGUUAUAAUGUGGUUUUAAAUUUUAAAACAAAUUUAAAGAUUAUAGGCUUCAUAUAUAGAGCAUUUACCGAAAACUCACUAUUUUCGUAGGGGGGUGGGUACACAUAGAUUUUGAGAAAAAUUCAAAAAUUUUGAAAAUACUGUUUUAAUACAUAUUUGAAUCAUGUAAUAAUAUAUGAUGAAGUUCAAAUAGAUUUGGAACCUUUGUUGUCUCCGUUUCUCUAGGGAAUAGCAAUUUUAUAGUGGUUAGUCCAAUGAUUUAGGGAGUAUUUGCAGUAACUUAAUGGAUAAAAAAUUAGAACGACGUCCAUGUACCAUGAAAAGAAGUUUAUCAUACAUUAAUACAUAGGUAUAAUGUGGUUUUAAAGAGGUUCAAAAUUUGAAAAUUUUGAAAAAAACUGUUUAAUACUAUAUUUGAAUCAUGUAAUAAUAUAUGAUGAAGUUCAAAUAGAUUUGGAACCUUUGUUGUCUCCGUUUCUCUAGGGAAUAGCAAUUUUAUAGUGGUUAGUCCAAUGAUUUAGGGAGUAUUUGCAGUAACUUAAUGGAUAAAAAAUUAGAACGACGUCCAUGUACCAUGAAAAGAAGUUUAUCAUACAUUAAUACAUAGGUAUAAUGUGGUUUUAAAGAGGUUCAAAAUUUGAAAAUUUUGAAAAAACUGUUUUAAUAUAUAUUUGAAUCAUGUAAUAAUAUAUGAUGAAGUUCAAAGAGAUUUGGAACCUUUGUUGUCUCCGUUUCUCUAGGGAAUAGCAAUUUUAUAGUGGUUAGUCCAAUGAUAUAGGGAGUAUUUGCAGUAAAUUAAUGGAUAAAAAAUUAGAACGAUGUCCAUGUACCAUGAAAAGAAGUUUAUCAUACAUUAAUACAAAGGUAUAAUGUGGUUUUAAAUUUUAAAACAAAUUUAGAGAUUAUAGGCUUCAUAUAAAGAGCAUUUACCGAAAACUCACUAUUUUCGUAGGGGUUAACCCAUAGAUUUUGAAAAAAAUCAAAAAUUUUGAAAAUACUGUUUUAAUACAUAUUUGAAUCAUGUAAUAAUAUAUGAUGAAGUUCAAAGAGGUUUGGAACCUUUGUUGUCUCCGUUUCUCUAGGGAAUAGCAAUUUUAUAGUGGUUAGUCUAAUGAUUUAGGGAGUAUUUGCAGUUUUCCUAAAUUAAUGGAUAAAAAAUUAGAACGAUGUCCAUGUACCAUGAAAAGAAGUUUAUCAUACAUUAAUACAAAGUUAUAAUGUGGUUUUAAAUUUUAAAACAAAUUUAGAGAUUAUAGGCUUCAUAU
Molecule: long non-coding RNA, 5903 nt
Filed under: Brassica rapa (field mustard)
Lineage: Eukaryota; Viridiplantae; Streptophyta; Magnoliopsida; Brassicales; Brassicaceae
Description: long non-coding RNA (BRAP_LNC008725)
Source: RNAcentral